This 657-nucleotide ribosomal RNA is filed under the name uncultured fungus. RNAcentral's name for it is "eukaryotic LSU rRNA". The stretch from base 221 to 374 matches the Rfam family "5.8S ribosomal RNA". The record is from RNAcentral. Lineage: Eukaryota; Fungi.
AGUAAAAGUCGUAACAAGGUUUCCGUAGGUGAACCUGCGGAAGGAUCAUUAUCGAACGAAUGUAGAGUCGGCUGUCGCUGGCCCCUCCGGGCAUGCGCACGCCUUCUCUUUCAUCCACACACACCUGUGCACUCGUGAGACGGAAGCCUCCGGGCGUCCGUCUGCUCUACAUAAACUCUUAAAAAAUCAGAAUGUGAUCGAUGUAACGCAUCUUUAAACUAAGUUUCAACAACGGAUCUCUUGGCUCUCGCAUCGAUGAAGAACGCAGCGAAAUGCGAUAAGUAAUGUGAAUUGCAGAAUUCAGUGAAUCAUCGAACCUUUGAACGCACCUUGCGCUCCUCGGUAUUCCUUGGAGCAUGCCUGUUUGAGUAUCAUGAAAUCAUCAAGACGAAUCUUUCGUUAGCUCGAUCGGUUUCGUUUUGGACUUGGGGGUCUGCAGAUUCACGUCUGCUCCUCUUAAACGCGUUAGCUGGAUCUCGGUAGACUCGGUUCCACUCGGCGUGAUAAGUAUCGCUCGCUGAGGACGCCCGUAAAAAAGGCGGCCGGGACUGCGGAAGAACCGCUUCCAAUCGUCCGUUCGGACAAAAACACUUUACGAUCUGAUCUCAAAUCAGGUAGGACUACCCGCUGAACUUAAGCAUAUCAAUAAGCGGAGGA